Molecule: ribosomal RNA, 253 nt
Filed under: uncultured prokaryote
Description: partial 16S ribosomal RNA
Rfam family: Bacterial small subunit ribosomal RNA
Source: RNAcentral
ACGGAGGGGGCCAGCGUUGCUCGGAAUUAUUGGGCGUAAAGGGCGCGUAGGCGGCCAGGUAAGUUUGAUGUGAAAUCCCACGGCUUAACCGUGGAAUUGCAUCUUAUACUGCCUGGCUUGAGUCUGGGAGAGGGAAGCGGAAUUCCCGGUGUAGCGGUGAAAUGCGUAGAUAUCAGGAGGAACACCGGUGGCGAAGGCGGCAUCCUGGACCGGCAUUGACGCUGAGGCGCGAAAGCCAGGGGAGCAAACGGGA